AAAUGAUCAAAUGAUUCAAAUCCAUAACAUCAGUUGCAGAAGGUGAGAAGGAAACGUAAAACAUGAUGCAGAAGCAUCAAAUACAUAACACAUAUUCGACGAUCAAAGAGAAAUGCAUAAAUAAAACACUUCAAACUUCAAAGAGAAACAGAAAGAAAAGGAGUAACAAAAGAGACGUAAGAUUUCCAGAAUUGUGAGGAGGAGUGACUUGUGACUUGUGUGGCUUGUGAGACGUGAAACUGCAACACAAAAAGAGACUCUACAUAUUUGAAACUGCAACAUGAAGACGAAAUGAACUCAAUUUCAUAUUAAAGCAAAUGAAAACUCUAAUCUCCAAAUCGAUUUCAUUGUUAAAAAAACCCUAAAACCAAUUUCAAAGUUAAGAGAUUCUACAUACUUGAUAUAUUGACAGAAAUUAGUAGUAUAAAGAAAAAAAAAACAAAGGAAAUGAAAUCAGUUUCAUAUUUAAACAAAUGAAAACCCUAACCCCCAAAUCAAUUUUUCCCAAUUACAGAGCCGGAUAUAAAAUGGGAAGAGAAGGAGAAGAAGCUUAGUUCCGUUGAUUUCUCGACGCUGCGGAUGGAGUCGGCGACACGCGAUGGCUUCUGAGAUAUUUUGAGUUGUUUUAACUUUUAUCGAAGAGAAGAGGAAGAAAUUAAGAGAGGAGAAUGUUUGAAAGAGGAGAAGAGGUUUAUUCCAAAAAAAAAAAAAAAAAAAAAAAGAGGAGAAGAGGAAGGAAGGCGUGUAUAAUUUUGUGUAUAU
Molecule: long non-coding RNA, 762 nt
Filed under: Eutrema salsugineum
Lineage: Eukaryota; Viridiplantae; Streptophyta; Magnoliopsida; Brassicales; Brassicaceae
Description: long non-coding RNA (ESAL_LNC002138)
Source: RNAcentral